This 292-nucleotide small RNA is filed under the name Pseudomassariella vexata. RNAcentral describes it as "5' ureB small RNA". It matches the Rfam family "5' ureB small RNA". Lineage: Eukaryota; Fungi; Ascomycota; Sordariomycetes; Amphisphaeriales; Pseudomassariaceae. The record is from Rfam by way of RNAcentral.
CGUUCGCCUGCUGCGGACAGAUGAAAUGGAUAUGCGUGUCCAACCCACCAGCCGUGAUGAUCUUGCCCUCGCCUGCAAUGACAUCCGUGCAACUGCCCACGACCAUCCCCUCAGUAACCCCAUCCAUGACGUCCGGAUUGCCCGCCUUGCCAAUCCCCACGAUGAAGCCGUCCUUGACCCCUAUAUCCGCCUUGUAGAUGCCCGACCAGUCCACAAUCAGCGCAUUCACCACCACCAAGUCCAGCGUCUCCGCGUCCGACCUCCCCGUCGCCUGACCCAUCCCCUCUCGCAG